AAGCCUACAUCCUAGGCACAGGGUGCUGCCCGUUCCUGGCGAGGUGACCUAGGGAUGAAGGUACUCAUCUUCCUCCAAGACUGAGCAGUCAGGAAGGCUUCAGGAGCCCAAGAUGGCCAAUGGGGAGCCCCAGAUGUAGAACAACGGUUAUGUUUCCCAACAUGAACAUUGUCCUGGAAUGAAGUGUGAUCAGCCACUUGUGGAAUUCUGUGAAGAGCUCAGAGGCUUCACAGUGAUCUGCUCCUGAACAAGUUUGAAGACCUAUUGUUUCAUAGACCCAAGUCCAAACUCCCUGACCUGGCAUCUGAAGGAUCCCCAGCCCCCAAGACCUAGCCUUCGUCUGCGAUUUUGGCUUCAUCUCCCACGAAACCCCUUUAUGAGUUGACGCUUUUUCCUGGACUGACAUACCUAUUCCUUUCCAUUUGUUGGACUCCUAUUCAUGCUUCAAAGUCCAGCUUUCUUAAGCCCUUCUUUAGGAAGCCUUCCCACACAGCCAACCCUGCUGCUCUCUGCCUCCUUUAAAUUCUUGAUAGAGCUGCUGCUUGUUCUGAUGUUUUAUGGUAUUGAUUCUGUUUUCCUGUGUAUAUGCCAGUUUUUCUAGCUAGACUGUAAACUCCUUAAGGACAGAGACUACACCUUGUACUUUUUGUGCAUGACCUGGACUUGCUAAGGAAAAAAAAAAUCCUGUGGAUUGAUUGCUUUGCCAUCCCCACAGCAGCUUUUGCAAAUUGCUGUCCAAACUCACUUGAAUGAUGACAUUGCUAUGGACCUGGGUUCUGGACC
RNAcentral lists this small RNA (783 nucleotides) under Pongo abelii (Sumatran orangutan). Its description in RNAcentral is "processed transcript". Lineage: Eukaryota; Metazoa; Chordata; Mammalia; Primates; Hominidae. The record is from RNAcentral.